This 305-nucleotide small nuclear RNA is filed under the name Nannospalax galili (Upper Galilee mountains blind mole rat). RNAcentral describes it as "7SK RNA (ENSNGAG00000007479.1)". It matches the Rfam family "7SK RNA". From Rfam's summary of the family: 7SK was discovered as an abundant small nuclear RNA in the mid-70s but a possible function has only recently been suggested. Lineage: Eukaryota; Metazoa; Chordata; Mammalia; Rodentia; Spalacidae. The record is from Rfam by way of RNAcentral.
AGAAGUGAGAGCAAUAUGACUGUGACAUCUGUCCCUCCCUUGAGUGCUAGGAUUGAUUCGUCUGGUCUGACUAGCUAGGCAGGUGUCUCUUUCCUCCUCAUGGCUCUAUGUGUGUCUCUCUUGAAGCUAUCCCCAGUUGAAGAAGAUGGCCUUCCCUGAUAGAGGAGGGUUGUCCUUUGGUCAAAGGUAGAAAGGUAGUUGUGCUCCCCUGCUGGAACCUCCAAACAAGCCCUCAGGGGUUAUCAUUUUACACAUCCCAGAGGUGAGUGAAGGGCCACUGAAGACAGAAUGAUCAUCUUUUCUUC